GUUGGGAACGAGGGGUAGUGGAGGGCAGCAGUAGUGAGCUUAAAUUACGUUUUCAAAAUUCACAACUUCAUAAUAGAGUGUCCUUUGGCACCCAACUGAACCAAGCUUUGAUCAUAAGCUGUGAAGAAGGCAGUACUGCAGGGACUGAGCUUUGACAAUAAUGGAAGGUCCAUCCCACCCCGACAACGGCCUCUUCUCACUGCUGCGGUCCGGUGGAUGCUGCCGCAAACUGAAGCCCAGGAAGCUGAGACCGGAGAGACUGAGGGAAAGCUUCAGCCCCAGGCCGUCCGUAUCCUGCAGGAAGCCCCCAGAACGGAGAGACUGAGGGAAAGCUUCAGCCCCAGGCCGUCCGUAUCCUGCAGGAAGCCCCCAGAACGGAGAGACUGAGGGAAAGCUUCAGCCCCAGGCCGUCCGUAUCCUGCAGGAAGCCCCCAGAACGGAGAGACUGAGGGAAAGCUUCAGCCCCAGGCCGUCCGUAUCCUGCAGGAAGCCCCCAGAACGGAGAGACUGAGGGAAAGCUUCAGCCCCAGGCCGUCCGUAUCCUGCAGGAUUCCUAGUUUUAUCCAAAUUUUUGACAUUUCGCUCUGUAUGACAUAAUUCUUCAAGCAAAAGUCAAAUAAAACUUGAAACGUGGAACUGUG
Molecule: non-coding RNA, 641 nt
Organism: Paramormyrops kingsleyae
Lineage: Eukaryota; Metazoa; Chordata; Actinopteri; Osteoglossiformes; Mormyridae
Source: RefSeq, a predicted model, not a curated record